UUGAUCUCAAAUCAGGUAGGACUACCCGCUGAACUUAAGCAUAUCAAUAAGCGGAGGAAAAGAAACUAACAAGGAUUCCCCUAGUAACUGCGAGUGAAGCGGGAAGAGCUCAAAUUUAAAAUCUGGCGUGCCUCUGGUCGUCCGAGUUGUAGUCUGGAGAAGCGUUUUCUGUGUUGGACCGUGUAUAAGUCUCUUGGAACAGGGCGUCAUAGAGGGUGAGAAUCCCGUCUUUGACACGGACUACCAAUGCUUUGUGAUGCGCUCUCAAAGAGUCGAGUUGUUUGGGAAUGCAGCUCAAAAUGGGUGGUAAAUUCCAUCUAAAGCUAAAUAUAGGCGAGAGACCGAUAGCGAACAAGUACCGUGAGGGAAAGAUGAAA
This 377-nucleotide ribosomal RNA is filed under the name uncultured Thelephoraceae. Its description in RNAcentral is "eukaryotic LSU rRNA". It matches the Rfam family "Eukaryotic large subunit ribosomal RNA", at positions 1 to 369 of the family's 3401-position model. Lineage: Eukaryota; Fungi; Basidiomycota; Agaricomycetes; Thelephorales; Thelephoraceae. The record is from RNAcentral.